This 1502-nucleotide ribosomal RNA is filed under the name Helicobacter pylori. RNAcentral's name for it is "bacterial SSU rRNA". It matches the Rfam family "Bacterial small subunit ribosomal RNA". Lineage: Bacteria; Pseudomonadati; Campylobacterota; Epsilonproteobacteria; Campylobacterales; Helicobacteraceae. The record is from RNAcentral.
UAUGGAGAGUUUGAUCCUGGCUCAGAGUGAACGCUGGCGGCGUGCCUAAUACAUGCAAGUCGAACGAUGAAGCUUUCUAGCUUGCUAGAAUGCUGAUUAGUGGCGCACGGGUGAGUAACGCAUAGGUCAUGUGCCUUUUAGUUUGGGAUAGCCAUUGGAAACGAUGAUUAAUACCAGAUACUCCCUACGGGGGAAAGAUUUAUCGCUAAGAGAUCAGCCUAUGUCCUAUCAGCUUGUUGGUAAGGUAAUGGCUUACCAAGGCUAUGACGGGUAUCCGGCCUGAGAGGGUGAACGGACACACUGGAACUGAGACACGGUCCAGACUCCUACGGGAGGCAGCAGUAGGGAAUAUUGCUCAAUGGGGGAAACCCUGAAGCAGCAACGCCGCGUGGAGGAUGAAGGUUUUAGGAUUGUAAACUCCUUUUGUUAGAGAAGAUAAUGACGGUAUCUAACGAAUAAGCACCGGCUAACUCCGUGCCAGCAGCCGCGGUAAUACGGAGGGUGCAAGCGUUACUCGGAAUCACUGGGCGUAAAGAGCGCGUAGGCGGGAUAGUCAGUCAGGUGUGAAAUCCUAUGGCUUAACCAUAGAACUGCAUUUGAAACUACUAUUCUAGAGUGUGGGAGAGGUAGGUGGAAUUCUUGGUGUAGGGGUAAAAUCCGUAGAGAUCAAGAGGAAUACUCAUUGCGAAGGCGACCUGCUGGAACAUUACUGACGCUGAUUGCGCGAAAGCGUGGGGAGCAAACAGGAUUAGAUACCCUGGUAGUCCACGCCCUAAACGAUGGAUGCUAGUUGUUGGAGGGCUUAGUCUCUCCAGUAAUGCAGCUAACGCAUUAAGCAUCCCGCCUGGGGAGUACGGUCGCAAGAUUAAAACUCAAAGGAAUAGACGGGGACCCGCACAAGCGGUGGAGCAUGUGGUUUAAUUCGAAGAUACACGAAGAACCUUACCUAGGCUUGACAUUGAGAGAAUCCGCUAGAAAUAGUGGAGUGUCUGGCUUGCCAGACCUUGAAAACAGGUGCUGCACGGCUGUCGUCAGCUCGUGUCGUGAGAUGUUGGGUUAAGUCCCGCAACGAGCGCAACCCCCUUUCUUAGUUGCUAACAGGUUAUGCUGAGAACUCUAAGGAUACUGCCUCCGUAAGGAGGAGGAAGGUGGGGACGACGUCAAGUCAUCAUGGCCCUUACGCCUAGGGCUACACACGUGCUACAAUGGGGUGCACAAAGAGAAGCAAUACUGCGAAGUGGAGCCAAUCUUCAAAACACCUCUCAGUUCGGAUUGUAGGCUGCAACUCGCCUGCAUGAAGCUGGAAUCGCUAGUAAUCGCAAAUCAGCCAUGUUGCGGUGAAUACGUUCCCGGGUCUUGUACUCACCGCCCGUCACACCAUGGGAGUUGUGUUUGCCUUAAGUCAGGAUGCUAAAUUGGCUACUGCCCACGGCACACACAGCGACUGGGGUGAAGUCGUAACAAGGUAACCGUAGGUGAACCUGCGGUUGGAUCACCUCCUU